Molecule: ribosomal RNA, 918 nt
Filed under: uncultured bacterium
Lineage: Bacteria
Description: bacterial SSU rRNA
Rfam family: Bacterial small subunit ribosomal RNA
Source: RNAcentral
GACCGAAACCGCUGGCCGGCGUGCCUUAAUACCAUGCCAAGUCCGAGCCGGACUAAAUGGGAGCUUGCUCCCAGAGGUUAGCCGGCGGACGGGUGAGUAACACGUGGGCAACCUGCCCUGUAGACUGGGAUAACACCGAGAAAUCGGUGCUAAUACCGGAUAACUUCCGAGGUCACCUGACCUUGGAUUAAAAGAUGGCUCCGGCUAUCACUACAGGAUGGGCCCGCGGCGCAUUAGCUAGUUGGUGAGGUAACGGCUCACCAAGGCGACGAUGCGUAGCCGACCUGAGAGGGUGAUCGGCCACACUGGGACUGAGACACGGCCCAGACUCCUACGGGAGGCAGCAGUAGGGAAUCUUCCGCAAUGGACGAAAGUCUGACGGAGCAACGCCGCGGUGAGUGAUGAAGGAUUUCGGUUCGUAAAGCUCUGUUGUUAGGGAAGAACAAGUGCCGUUCAAAUAGGGCGGCACCUUGACGGUACCUAACCAGAAAGCCACGGCUAACUACGUGCCAGCAGCCGCGGUAAUACGUAGGUGGCAAGCGUUGUCCGGAAUUAUUGGGCGUAAAGCGCGCGCAGGCGGUCUUUUAAGUCUGAUGUGAAAGCCCACGGCUCAACCGUGGAGGGUCAUUGGAAACUGGGAGACUUGAGUACAGAAGAGGAGAGUGGAAUUCCACGUGUAGCGGUGAAAUGCGUAGAUAUGUGGAGGAACACCAGUGGCGAAGGCGACUCUCUGGUCUGUAACUGACGCUGAGGCGCGAAAGCGUGGGGAGCAAACAGGAUUAGAUACCCUGGUAGUCCACGCCGUAAACGAUGAGUGCUAGUGUUAGGGGUUUCGAUGCCCUUAGUGCCGAAGUUAACACAUUAAGCACUCCGCCUGGGGAGUACGACCGCAAGGUUGAAACUCAAAGGAAUUGACGG